GCUGGUUGGAGGGGGUGAGGGGCAGUAUUACACAAUCUUUAUAUAUAUUUUUUUAUACAUAUAUAGAUUGUGUAAUACUGCCCCUCACCCCCUCCAACCAACACAGAAAU
RNAcentral lists this microRNA precursor (110 nucleotides) under Pelobates cultripes (western spadefoot toad). Lineage: Eukaryota; Metazoa; Chordata; Amphibia; Anura; Pelobatidae. The record is from RNAcentral.